Sorex araneus (European shrew) is the source of this 106-nucleotide small nuclear RNA. Lineage: Eukaryota; Metazoa; Chordata; Mammalia; Eulipotyphla; Soricidae. The record is from Ensembl.
AUGCUCUCUCCAACAGCACAUAUACUAAAACUGAAAUGAUAUAGAGAAGACAAGCAUGGCCCCUUGGCAGGAUGACACAUAAAUUCAUCAAGUGUUCCAUAUUUAU